GAUCAUGGCUCAGGAUGAACGCUAGCUACAGGCUUAACACAUGCAAGUCGCGGGGCAGCAUGGGGGUUGCUUGCAAUCCCUGAUGGCGACCGGCGCACGGGUGAGUAACGCGUAUCCAACCUGCCCUUCACCACGGGAUAACCCGGCGAAAGUCGGACUAAUACCGUAUGUUGUCCAUUGACGGCAUCCGAUUUGGACGAAAGGCUUUGCGGUGAGGGAUGGGGAUGCGUCCGAUUAG
This 238-nucleotide ribosomal RNA is filed under the name uncultured bacterium. RNAcentral's name for it is "partial 16S ribosomal RNA". It matches the Rfam family "Bacterial small subunit ribosomal RNA", at positions 15 to 244 of the family's 1533-position model. The record is from RNAcentral.